AUUGAACGCUGGCGGCAUGCCUUACACAUGCAAGUCGAACGGCAGCACGGGAGCUUGCUCCUGGUGGCGAGUGGCGAACGGGUGAGUAAUACAUCGGAACGUACCCUGAAGUGGGGGAUAACGUAGCGAAAGUUACGCUAAUACCGCAUAUUCUGUGAGCAGGAAAGAGGGGGAUCGCAAGACCUCUUGCUUUAGGAGCGGCCGAUGUCGGAUUAGCUAGUUGGUGAGGUAAAGGCUCACCAAGGCGACGAUUCGUAGCGGGUCUGAGAGGAUGAUCCGCCACACUGGGACUGAGACACGGCCCAGACUCCUACGGGAGGCAGCAGUGGGGAAUUUUGGACAAUGGGCGCAAGCCUGAUCCAGCCAUGCCGCGUGAGUGAAGAAGGCCUCGG
Molecule: ribosomal RNA, 392 nt
Filed under: uncultured bacterium
Lineage: Bacteria
Description: bacterial SSU rRNA
Rfam family: Bacterial small subunit ribosomal RNA
Source: RNAcentral